RNAcentral lists this ribosomal RNA (253 nucleotides) under uncultured bacterium. RNAcentral describes it as "partial 16S ribosomal RNA". It matches the Rfam family "Bacterial small subunit ribosomal RNA", at positions 524 to 776 of the family's 1533-position model. The record is from RNAcentral.
UACGAAGGGGGCUAGCGUUGCUCGGAAUCACUGGGCGUAAAGGGUGCGUAGGCGGGUCUUUAAGUCAGGGGUGAAAUCCUGGAGCUCAACUCCAGAACUGCCUUUGAUACUGAGGAUCUUGAGUACGGGAGAGGUGAGUGGAACUGCGAGUGUAGAGGUGAAAUUCGUAGAUAUUCGGAAGAACACCAGUGGCGAAGGCGGCUCACUGGUCCGGUACUGACGCUGAGGUGCGAAAGCGUGGGGAGCAAACAGG